RNAcentral lists this long non-coding RNA (631 nucleotides) under Mytilus galloprovincialis (Mediterranean mussel). The record is from RNAcentral. Lineage: Eukaryota; Metazoa; Mollusca; Bivalvia; Mytilida; Mytilidae.
CUGGGUCAUUUGUGUUGUUUAGCUUCUGGCUGAUUGACAUUUUUUGUACAUCCAAAACAAUUUCAACAACACCAUGACAUUACAAGCAAUGGCUUUUUCUGUUGCCUGUACAAAAUCUCAAAACAUAAACUUCCUCCUUUUAAGCUGGCAUCAGUGAUUUUAUGGGAGAUCAUUUGCAUUGAUUGGUUGUUGCUUGAGAAUCUUGCAGUGGUGAAAACAUGACAAACAAAAACUGGCUCAAAUUUUCAUUAAUCAAAGCUAAAAAGGUAUAAAGGUGCACAACUAUAACAUUCUUUUCCUUUUCAUGUUCUGGUAUUGCAAGAUAUAAUUUGGUUGAAAUGCACUAAAAAUUAAGGGGAGAUUACUCCGUAAUUUACUAUCAUUUUUACCAAAAGUUUCUUGAUUUAACAGACAUGCAGAAAUGAUACACCAACAAUUUGGAUCUCAGGAUGCUGGUAACAUCAAAUAUGAUUGUAAGGAUGGCUGGUUUUUUGCUGCCGUGAAUUGAAAUUUAUUCAAAAUUGCCUUAUUCUUACAAAGACUGGCAUUUAACUUUAAGUGACAAACAUUUAAUGCAUAUUUAGGACAAUAGACUAAUUUAAAAGUGAAUAAGAUAUACAUGUGUAAAAAG